Molecule: long non-coding RNA, 235 nt
Filed under: Nicotiana benthamiana
Lineage: Eukaryota; Viridiplantae; Streptophyta; Magnoliopsida; Solanales; Solanaceae
Description: long non-coding RNA (NBEN_LNC013343)
Source: RNAcentral
ACUUGUGAGCAUCUGGUGUUGUCUGUGAAUACCUGACUUGACUGUAUUCUAUUUGUUGGUUGUUGUGUGUGAAUACCUGUUUUGGUUGUAUUCUGUUCGUUAAAAAGUUGUUCAUUUAAGCCGGUUCAUUGACUAUGGCUUCUAACACAAGUACAGGUGCCUCCCCUUCUGUAGACUCUUCCAGUCCCCUUUUUGUAUAUUCUUCUGAUGUCCCUGCGGUAUCUCUCGUUCCCAC